AAUGAAGAGUAAAAAAAUUAUCACUUCCGAUUCAUAAGUUAACAAUGACUAGUCAAUAGCCAUAAAUCAUGUAAUUCAGAGGAGAAAUUGUCAUAUUCUCACAGGAGCUUAAAUUUCAUUACACACGUAUAGAAAUUGUUCAAACAUUCAUAAUUAAAUUUCAUAAUAAAAUUACAACUUGAAUACAAAUAAGUGGAAAUUCAACUUAAAUGUCACAAGGAAGUGGAAAUAUGUUGUCUGCAAUUUAAUUUAGCUUGAAAGUUGGACUGCAUCAGUGCACCUAACCAGUCACCUCCAUCCACAUAUAAAGCAUACUCUGCAAUUCUGCAUUCAAGGACAAUUACAUAAUUUCAGAGCAUUUAAAGUAAUACACAUAAAUAUAUUCAUUAAUGUAGUACUCUGUGAAUUAACACUACAACAACAGACUAGUGUAAUCAAGAUGCCUGAUAAAGUAAUCUAAUUAAAUUGCUCUAACUGGUAUACAAGAAAGAAGACUAGAAUUGCAGCAAAAUAAUAUCACUAUUACAGUAAAUAGAUUUCCUAAAACAAGUCACAAUAAAUAGAUUAUCUAAAACCCUCAUAUUCCACAAACUGAAAUGGUUCCUCAUGCAUGAUAAUAGCAGCAACAAGUAAUUCUCAAUAUCUCUCUUGGCUAAAUUUAGGAGUUGCUAAAUUUAAACAUGAACUUUCACGGGUUAUAAGCAUCUGACCAAUGUCUCUAGUAUCUCUCCUAACACAUUUUUCUAUAUGCUUAUGAAGAUUACCGGUACCAAAAGUACUAGGACAAGCAUAGGUUGUACCACAUUUUUUACACUUAUAGCGCUGUUUUUUGUUCGGUGGUAUCAGUGGAAGCAUCUCAAAAUGGUCCCAAACAUCAGAUUUAAGUCGCCUUCUACUCUGCGUGCUACUGGUUUCAACGCUUACAUUCCCGUCCGGAGGUGCUUCUUGGACUUCUACCUCCACCACAUCAUCUUCAAUUUCUUGAUUCAAUUCCAUAUUUUCGCUGCCACUUUCCAUCUACAUCAAUAAGACAGUAAACAGGAUUAGAUAAUCGAAUCCAGUGGAGAGUUCGAGUGAGAGUUUGAGUGAAACUUACCAAAUACGAAUCCAGUGGAGAGGGCGACUCGGCAAGUGAGAGUUCGAGUAGAGGGAGAGUUUUUGAAAGUGAAAAACAAAAUCAGAUAUGAAUCCAGUUGAGAGACUCAAAUCGGAGUAAAGAGGGAGUGAGAGGGGAGGAGAUUCGAAAGGAGAGAGAUGGUUUUGGAUUUGGAAUUCGAAGGCUAGAGUCUGAGAGAUUUAGGGUUGAGAAGGAUGAAGGCGGCCGCUCAG
Molecule: long non-coding RNA, 1329 nt
Filed under: Daucus carota (carrot)
Lineage: Eukaryota; Viridiplantae; Streptophyta; Magnoliopsida; Apiales; Apiaceae
Description: long non-coding RNA (DCAR_LNC005846)
Source: RNAcentral